AGAUGGAACGUAUACAAGAGGAACCAGAACCUCUGCAGAUGGAACGGAUACAAGAGGUACCAGAACCUCUGCAGAUGGCACGGAUACAAGAGGUUCCAGAACCUCUGCAGAUGGAACGUAUACAAGAGGUUCCAGAACCUCUGCAGAUGGAACGGAUACAAGAGGAACCA
Long non-coding RNA from Poecilia latipinna (sailfin molly), 170 nucleotides. RefSeq lists it as uncharacterized. The record is from RefSeq and is a predicted model, not a curated record. The transcript has 2 exons. NCBI's taxonomy places the organism in Eukaryota, Metazoa, Chordata, Actinopteri, Cyprinodontiformes, Poeciliidae.